CGUUAGAGCAAAUGGAUAAUUACAUUCAAACAAACAAAAUCUAGGGAGCUUUUUUAUAUAUUUUAUGUGAAAAUGACAACGAGAAUGAUGGUCGUAGUGUGAACGUAGUCAGGUCGUAAGAAGAGCGUGAUGAGGACGGCAAGGGCGUGCUAGAAUCGUACAAUGGUCGUGAACAGCGUGGUAUAGUCGUAGUGGAAGCGUAGCUGGGUCGCAGUGAGAACGUGAUGGUCGUAGUGAGGUCGUGAUAAUGUCGCUGUGCGAUCGUAGCGCAGUAUCUCCAAAUAGAAUCACGCUUUCGCUACGCUCUCGCUACGAUUGUAGAGCGACCUUUGAGAUCUUACUACGAUCUUAGUGCGCUCUCACUACGCUUCUACUACGACCUGAUUUCGCCACGACCGCACCACGAUUGUUUUGAACAUGUUCAAAGUUGGCCACGCUCUUCACGAUCUUGAAGACUCACCACGACCGUGAUACGACCUUACUGCGAUCUACACGAUCGCACUACGAUCAUCCAAAUUUGCAUUUUUUUUUCACAGAUCGUAGUGCGAUCGUGGCCUAGUGGGACUGGGGUAUUAAUAUAUUUUAUUUUAAAAUGACAAUGAGAAUGAUGGUCGUAGUAUGAACGUAGUCAGGUCGUAAGAAGAGCGUGAUGAGGACGGCAAGGGCGUGCUAGAAUCGUACUAUGGUCGUGAACAGCGUG
Molecule: long non-coding RNA, 700 nt
Filed under: Mytilus galloprovincialis (Mediterranean mussel)
Lineage: Eukaryota; Metazoa; Mollusca; Bivalvia; Mytilida; Mytilidae
Source: RNAcentral